This 1306-nucleotide long non-coding RNA is filed under the name Carassius auratus (goldfish). RNAcentral's name for it is "lncRNA (ENSCARG00000017169.1)". Lineage: Eukaryota; Metazoa; Chordata; Actinopteri; Cypriniformes; Cyprinidae. The record is from RNAcentral.
AUUUCAUUCCAUCAUGCUGCUCUGUGCACUUGUAAUAUUAUCAGUACUUGCAGGUGAGACUUGAUUAUUUUAUUUAAUAACAAACAUUUUUUAAUUAGAACUGUUGUAAUUACAUUUAUCUGAUCGCAAUAUUGAAUUUAUUAUGUCUUUUUUUCAGGAGUGUCUCUUGGUGAUCUAAUAACGUCUCAUGACUCUGAAAAACGAGCUCAAGAUGGUAACAGUGUUGCUCUCUACUGUAACUACACUGGUGCUGUGUAUAAUCUACUGUGGUAUCGUCAGUAUCAAAGAUCCAGACCAGAACUCCUUCUCUCCAUGAGUGAAUCUGGAGAUCCAGUUAAAGCCGAUCCAUCAGCGCACUGGUUAUCAGCUAAAGUUGACAAACACAGAAAGCUCAUGGAACUGGAAAUCAGCCCUGCUAAAGUAUCAGACUCUGUACAGUAUUACUGUGCUCUGCAGCCCACAGUGACAGGAAAACCUGUUUUCCCCUACACAAAGUCUUUUUGCAAAUUAGUCAUGCUUCUCAUUCAUUGAUGUCUAACAAGCACAUGUAUUCUACAGUACAGUAUGUAUUAUUUCUGUGACUGCAUCAGCCAUUAGUACAGCAUCUCUUAAUGAGUCCACAACGAUCAAUAGAACACAUAUUUCCAUAGAUAGGCGGAGCUUAUGGUGGAUUAGAGCAGAAGAGCACAAAGAGGCUCAACACACCUACUUAUAGACCAUUCAAUAUAAUUUACAAACAACAAUGAUCAUCAUCUGCUUUGUUUUACCAUUUGUCUUGAGUUAUGGUGAAGCUAAUAAGAGUCCUAUCAGUCCAGAUAAAGCAUCUGUGUCUUUAAAUGAAGACAAUAAUGCUACUCUGUCCUGUAAAAUUGAUGAAUCAGGUUACCGUCUCUAUUGGUAUCGACAGAAGACUGGAUUGAAGUUUUUGGUGCUGAUUGAUAAAACCACCAAAUUUGUAAUGCCCGCUACUCCACCUCUUCCACAUAUGUCCACCAGUCUCCAUAAUAACAACCGUGUGGAUCUGAUCAUCUCCUCUGCUGCUGUAUCAGACUCUGCUCUGUAUUACUGUGCUCUGGAGCCCACAGUGACAGGAAAGUCUGCAACACUGUACAAAAUCCAAGUUUUGAUGAUUCAUUUAAAUUAAUACAUUUCUUGUUAUAAGGCUUUUGCAUGUACAGUAUACAGUCCUCCUUGAUUCUCUGUUUAUACUGCAUUUCAUCAAUCAUAAUUUAACUGCACAUGAUGAAAACCAACAGAACUAGUUUAAAUGUCAGAAUUGUAGACUGCGAGUAAACUAAUAACUAAU